RNAcentral lists this ribosomal RNA (270 nucleotides) under uncultured archaeon. Its description in RNAcentral is "partial 16S ribosomal RNA". It matches the Rfam family "Archaeal small subunit ribosomal RNA", at positions 477 to 747 of the family's 1478-position model. The record is from RNAcentral.
CAGCACCUCAAGUGGUCAGGAUGAUUAUUGGGCCUAAAGCAUCCGUAGCCGGCGCUGUAAGUUUUCGGUUAAAUCUGUACGCUCAACGUACAGGCUGCCGGGAAUACUGCAGCGCUAGGGAGUGGGAGAGGUAGACGGUACUCGGGAGGAAGGGGUAAAAUCCUUUGAUCUAUUGAUGACCACCUGUGGCGAAGGCGGUCUACCAGAACACGUCCGACGGUGAGGGAUGAAAGCUGGGGGAGCAAACCGGAUUAGAUACCCGAGUAGUCC